Molecule: long non-coding RNA, 1586 nt
Filed under: Panax ginseng (ginseng)
Lineage: Eukaryota; Viridiplantae; Streptophyta; Magnoliopsida; Apiales; Araliaceae
Description: long non-coding RNA (PGIN_LNC010620)
Source: RNAcentral
GAGAUUCUCAAGUCAAAGCUACCACUAUUUGGGCUGUCAUACGCGACUCAACUGUAAGUUGUUAUAGGCACAACCUAGCUACAGAUACCUCGUUUCUCCUUCUUCCUUUGGUUGACUUUCCAUAACAAACUUGUCAUAUGGCCUCUUGAUAUCUAUUGCCUAUGCAACUAAGCCAAUUAAUCAUUUGAUCAGCUCUUUUUUUAAUAUGAGUUUUUAAGCAUAUAUUGAGAGUUGUUUUUGCUCACCAUGGUUGGUUUGAAAUACCUUUUAGCUAGGAUCAACUUAUACAUCAUGUUCAGUUCAAUUACAUGACUUUUAACAUCAUGGUUCAACAUAUACAUCAUGGUUGAUUUAAAAUACCUUUUAGCUAGGAUUAAUUUGAUCAUGUUCUUGCUCAUCACCCCUUUGAUCCUAUCGUCUCUAUUUCUGGGAUCUCGUUUAAUGCCAUUAUUAGUGAGAUUAUAAGCAAAUGUACUUGGUGUCCUCUCUCGAACUAUGCUAGCAUUCUUCUCAUGAAGCAGAAGUUCCUUUUAAUCCCCCUCCCUCAAACAUACUUGAUCAAGUGCUAUGGGUAGGAGAUUCUCAAGUCAAAGCUUCCACUAUAUAUGCUGUCAUACGCAGCAGUACUGGCUCAACUGCAUGUUGGUAUAAAUUGGUAUGGCACAACUUGCAGAUACCUCGCUUCUCCUUCUUCCUUUGGUUGACUUUCCAUUAUAAACAGGUCAUAUGGCCUCUUGAUAUCUGUUGCCUAUGCAAUUAAACUAAUUAAUCAUUUGAUCAUCUCUUUUUUUAAUACUAGUUUUCUAAGCAUAUAUUGAGAGUUGUUUUUGCUCACCAUGGUUGGUUUGGGAUACGUUCACUCGUAUGGAUUACAUGACUUUGCGCAUCAUAAGAUAUAGAACGAGCAAAAUCACAGAUCCCAUGAAAAUAAACCCUUUGCUAUCAAAACUAUUGCUCAAGAUUGUAUUAAUAUUAUCAAAUGUAAAUUGUUCCUUGUUAAGAAAUUGAGUAAAUUUGUAAAAAAACUUUCUUUUCUUAGGAUUUGACAGUUAUAGUCUUUUGACUAUAGAAACUGUAUCAUUGGUAUGCCCCAGAUCUUGUAUAUUUGUUUUCUUUCAAUAUACUCUCAAUUUAGUACGCACAAAAAAAAUCACUUGCAAGUCUAUGAAGCUAACAUUAUCUUUAACAUAUUUUUAAUGUGAUAAACGGAAAAAAAAAUGUAAAAUAACACAUGAAACUAAUUAAUUACACAAUUAACAUAAAUUUCAAAUUUUGCACGGUAAACAUUAAUUAAACAAAGUACACAACUAACAUUAAUUAAAAAUAAUUACACAAUUAAUUUAACAAACGAGUGAAACAAUUAACUUAGAUUAACCAAAUGACACGAAUAACAAAUUAUGCAAUAAUUCAAUUAAGAAAAAAUAAAACAAAUCAACAUCCCACUACUUCGUGAAUAUCAACAAACCAAGUACGUCGGCUGCAUUAUCCGUUCAACCAUCAUCGACGCCACCUCCACAUGCAGCAACUGCACCAAGCCCGGCCACUCCGACCAAAUUAAGUCAUGUAAACAUGUAAAUUCGCUCUGU